RNAcentral lists this long non-coding RNA (2837 nucleotides) under Podarcis lilfordi (Lilford's wall lizard). The record is from RNAcentral. Lineage: Eukaryota; Metazoa; Chordata; Lepidosauria; Squamata; Lacertidae.
AGAAACCAGAGUUGGUAAUGAAGGAAGAAAAGAGGGAGCUGAAAACCUUUACGAAAGUUUCUCUCAACUUUCUUCAAGCUAUAACCAAAAGAGAUAUGUGACCUUUUCCCUUGUCAGUCUUCCCAUUUCAGAUCCUUAUAUUAUUAUAUUGUCUAGUAGUUAUUUUUGCUUAUACUUAUCAUCAGCCAAGCCAUCUUUUCUUUGAAACACACACACACACAGAGACUUUGACUCAAGGGAGACAGUUGAGUUGUUAUUAUCUGUUUCAGUCAGAGUACAUAGUACAGUACAUCUGUUACAAAGGGUGAGAAAGGUGAUGUAGAAAGAAUAAGCUUGAAAUGAAUGGACUGAUAAUGGGGGAUGUAAGAUAACAAGAUGCCACAAUGCCAACACUGAAGAAAUCAAAUGUUCUCCCACAUAAUGGAAGUGCAGACUCCAUUCAUCAAGUGUGCGCCAUCUAAAGAAGCUUGAAGUACAAUUUCCUUGGAUGCAUAAAAAACCAUUUUCUCAAUGAAUGUGUCAGCUGUUGAUAGAAAUAUGAGUGAGUGAUAUUGAUUUGAGAGGCACUGACUUAAUUUGAAUCAAAAUUGCACAGUUCACUGCUGCAGGCUACAUUAGUGCAGCAUGGCCUAUUAUUAUAGAUUCCCCUAUGUAUAAAUAAAAUAUACUUCUCGAUUUAGUCCCAAAUGCUGAAGGUUUGUUGACAUCUGGUAGUUUUCAGAUCUCAAAUUUAAGUGGCAAAUCUGUGCAUAUCCUUGAGCCCCUGUGUUUUUUGUACUUAAAAGUAGCUGGUGUGUGUGUGCAGUAGCAGCUGUAAGUCCACUCUAUAACAGGAAUAGGGAACCUAUAGUUUUCCAAAUGCCAAACUGAAACACAGCUACACUUCAAAAUUCACACUUCUCCAAAUGUCAUUCUUCCAAAUGAUGGGAACAAAAUUGUGUAUAUUAGAAGUAAGUGUGCAUAAAAAACACAUGCACUAAUGAAAUUAACAUGCCACAAAUUCAUUAUAUUCUGGGGAAAACCCAUGAGAUAAGGGAAACACCAUAAAAUAUGUCACGAGUAUCAAAAAUGUACACUAAAAUGCUGGCAAAUUCUCACGACGGCUUUUUUUAAUUAAAAAAUUGCAGACUGAUGCAGAAAUGUGGAGAACUGGAAACUGGAAAAAUGAGAAGCUGAGCGAAAGUGAAAUGGAUAGAUUAACCCAUCCCUACCAUAAGCCCCUCUUCCACAGUCUGCCUGGUUUAAAUAUGCUAUUGCUGUCUCCUCCUUUUUUAGAUAGUGCCCUUUCAAUAAACUACGUCAAAGUUUGGAUCCAAGCUAAAGAUAUAUACACAUUUGAAUGAUACUGCAGUACAAGUCAAAGUGCAAGCAGAUAAAGAGGUACUGCUCCAGCAGGAAGGUAAACAGUGUUUCAAUGCGCUGCUCUGGUUUCGCCAGAAGCAGCUUAGUCAUGCUGGCCACAUGACCCGGAAAAACUGUCUGCGGACAAACGCCGGCUCCUUUGACCUAUAGAGUGAGAUGAGCGCACAACCCCAGAGUCAUUUGCGACUGGACCUAACGGUCAGGGGUCCCUUUACCUUUACCUUUUACAGUGCAAUUGUAAUGACCAUCCAUUUAGAGAAGGAAAAGAUAGAUUGGGCUGCAAGGAAGUGUUUGGAGUUUCUUAGCUGUGCACAACCUUGACAAUUGCUGUGCCUAUAAGGGGGUGCUCCAGUCAUGAUGCCUUAUUGAAUAAUGGCACUCUAUAUUUGGUUUCUGACAGGUGUGUGUGUGUGCAUGAAGGUGGGAGAGGAGUCUGCAACAUAAUGAAAACAAUAUUUUAUGGGAGUCUUUGCUUUUCUCCUCCAGCCUGAAGCUUGUCUUUAGCAGAGUCUUUGGCAAAACAGAUGGAUGCCCAGAACUGGUGCCAAAGCAUUUAUUAUGUAGCGAGAAACAAGCUCUCCUGCUGACUGCUCUCUUCUGCCGAGAAAUGUUGACCGUACGUGCUGAACACCGGGUGACAGGAACAGACUAUUUCAUGGCUGGGAAGGAAAUAUCAAUCUGGACUUGAGUGGAACAAAGUGGGAAGGCAGUGAUUGGAAAAGCUCAGUGGCUGGAAAAGUUGAAAGGGACAGACAGGGGGAAAUAAUACUAAUAAUCGGAAUACAAGAAGCCAGAAAGGCAAAAGAAAUGAGUGCCCAUUCUACAUUCUGCCAAAUAUCCAGGCUUCCACCCAAUGCAUGCAGGCAGGGGCUCUUACUUGGAAGAGAUCCAUAUUCAUUCAAGUAAUUGGUAAAGGUUCAGCAACAGACUGAUGACCCAGGAGUUGUGAUUCAGGAGUAGGGCAAGAAGUUCAGAACUGGAUGAACCCUCUUGUUCAGUGGAUGCUGCCCCCUGCUUCCUGGAGGAAGGCCUUUGCCAUCCUCUGCUGGGAAGGUCCAAAGGCAGGUCAUUGGAGAGAACCGUUAUCCAUUCUUCCCCCUCCAAAACAAUUAAAGCCUCCCUCUCUUCCAACUCAGGUUUCCACAGUUCAGCCACCACCUUCUUCCUCCUCCCUCUGCUAGAACUUGCUAACUCAAGCUUGAUCCUGACAGUACUGCGGGGCUCAUGGCAACCUGUAAGUGUGACAUCCUACAAGGCUAUUCAGACAAUUAUAGGAAGCAAGGAAGAGGAAAUGACAUGGGUAAGUAUAGGGAUGUUGUUAAGUGCCUCCUCCAUUUUUUUUCAGUGCAGUUGCAGGAUUUGUGCCUCUUGAAGCUGUAAGAGAUCUUCCCCCCAAAACCAAACAUGCAGGAAACCACAAACAAAACCUUUUGGAAUUUAUUUCCAAUGAUGAUGAUGAUGAUGUUAUUAUUAUU